CCUAUGGGAGGCAGCAGUGAGGAAUAUUGGUCAAUGGGCGCAAGCCUGAACCAGCCAAGUCGCGUGAGGGAUGACGGUCCUAUGGAUUGUAAACCUCUUUUGUCGGGGAGCAAGGCCCGCCACGUGUGGCGGGAAGGAGAGUACCCGAAGAAAAAGCAUCGGCUAACUCCGUGCCAGCAGCCGCGGUAAUACGGAGGAUGCGAGCGUUAUCCGGAGUUACUGGGUGUAAAGGGGGCGCAGACGGCAAUGCAAGCCAGGAGUGAAAGCCCGGGGCCCAACCCCGGGACUGCUCUUGGAACUGCAUGGCUGGAGUACAGGAGGGGCAGGCGGAAUUCCUAGUGUAGCGGUGAAAUGCGUAGAUAUUAGGAGGAACACCGGUGGCGAAGGCGGCCUGCUGGACUGUGACUGACGUUGAGGCCCGAAGGCGUGGGGAGCAAACAGGAUUAGAUACCCGAGUAGUC
RNAcentral lists this ribosomal RNA (461 nucleotides) under uncultured bacterium. RNAcentral's name for it is "partial 16S ribosomal RNA". It matches the Rfam family "Bacterial small subunit ribosomal RNA", at positions 338 to 795 of the family's 1533-position model. The record is from RNAcentral.